GACGCCGCGUGGAGGACGAAGGUAUUAGUGUUGUAAACUCCUGUCACGGAUUAUGAAUGCACGUAUGCGAACAGUGUGCGUGUUGACGUAAGUUCGAGAGGAAGCACCGGCUAACUCUGUGCCAGCCCCUUCGGUGACUGAGCGGGCUGGCAAGGCGCAUA
RNAcentral lists this ribosomal RNA (161 nucleotides) under uncultured bacterium. Its description in RNAcentral is "partial 16S ribosomal RNA". It matches the Rfam family "Bacterial small subunit ribosomal RNA", at positions 393 to 539 of the family's 1533-position model. The record is from RNAcentral.